AUGCACAGCGGGGUCCUUAAUCUUCCUGAAGUUCAUGAACUCUGUUAUUGUCCUCCCCCCACCCCGCCCCACCCCUUCCCCCCAUCUCUCUGCUCUCUCUGGCAGCCCAGAGUGGUUGGAAGGGAAUCAUUUCGGGAACUCUCUGGUUUCCAGGAGCAUGGGCAUACCAGUCAAGCUGUUGGCCCCUUUGUGCACACAAUGACCCUGGAAACUGUUCGGCUGCACUUCUCUGGUGCUCCUGUGACCAGCUGGGGGCUGCUGGGAGCACACUGCCUGGAGGAGAGAACACCACAUAGCAGAUGACUCCAGUGCAGCAGGAGGGCCUGGAGGCCAGGGGCCCUAGCCUUGGAGGCAAGGCUGAUGACGGUGAGUGGCUCCCAGUCACCAAGCUGGGCCGCCUGGUCAAGGACAUGAAGAUCAGGUCCCUGGAGGAGACAUCUCCCUGCCCGACAAGGAGCCUGAGGUCAUUGGCUUUUCCCUGGGGAUGUCUUUUGAGGAUGAAGAUUGUACCAGUGCAAAAGCAGUUGCACGCUGGCCGGAGGACCAGGUUCAAAGUGUUUAUCACCAUUGGCAACUAUAAUAGUCACGUCACCUGGCUGUGAAGUGUUCCAAACAGAUAGCCCCUGCCAUCUAAGGGGCCAUUAGCCAGGCCAAGCUCUCCAUUGUGCCCGUGUGGGGAGACUACUGGGGGAACAAGAUCAACAAGUGCCACACUGUGCCUUGCAAAGUGACCAGACACUGUGGGUCUGUGCUGGUGCCUCAUCCCUGCUCCCAGAGCCAGUGACAAUGUCUCUGCUCCUGUCCCCAAGAAGCUGUUGCUGACAGCUCGCACUGAUGACUACUACCUCUCAGCCACGGGCUGCACCACCACCCUGGACAACUUUGAUGCCAUCUCUAAGCUACCUAUUGUAUCUGACCACCGACCGCUGCAAAGAGACUGUGCUUUCCAAGUCUCCCUCCCAGGAAUUCAUGAACUAUCUUGUAAAGACCCUUGAGCAGAGGACCCAGGCUCUGGCUAUCACUACAACAUAAGGUUUUACACAAGAACACUAAAGUGAAGUCAGCCUGUUUUAAGACAUAAUAAACUGAGGUUUGCUACGUGCUGGAUGUUGUGC
RNAcentral lists this long non-coding RNA (1115 nucleotides) under Oryctolagus cuniculus (rabbit). RNAcentral's name for it is "lncRNA (ENSOCUG00000039545.1)". Lineage: Eukaryota; Metazoa; Chordata; Mammalia; Lagomorpha; Leporidae. The record is from RNAcentral.